GUUCUCUGUCAGGAAGCAGAGGUGGGUAGAUUAAAACUUUUCUAACUUUUCCAUAAUGGUUUUCAGGGCUGUAGGACCGGAGCUGGCCGUUGUGUAAGCAAGCAGAAGCGAGUUUUCAUUAGCAACUCAUUUUGCACGGUACAGCCGUCACAGGGUCAUUGCACAAAUAAAAGCCAAGCAAGGCAGACGAGUUACAGGACUGCCUAUGUAGACAAAAGAAUUCGCUGAAGGCCACGGAACCUGAGGCCGGGCAGCGUCUUGUGACUCCCAGUCUGGUGCUUUGACUGCUGACUGCUCCCGCUUUACAUGCUG
RNAcentral lists this long non-coding RNA (312 nucleotides) under Gallus gallus (chicken). Its description in RNAcentral is "long non-coding RNA NONGGAT009094". The record is from RNAcentral. Lineage: Eukaryota; Metazoa; Chordata; Aves; Galliformes; Phasianidae.